RNAcentral lists this ribosomal RNA (1357 nucleotides) under uncultured prokaryote. RNAcentral describes it as "partial 16S ribosomal RNA". It matches the Rfam family "Bacterial small subunit ribosomal RNA", at positions 28 to 1381 of the family's 1533-position model. The record is from RNAcentral.
AACGAACGCUGGCGGCGUGUUUAAGACAUGCAAGUCGAACGGGAUGAAGUUGUAGCAAUACCGCUUCAUUCAGUGGCGGACGGGGGAGUAACACGUGAGUAACCUGCCCGAAAAUGGGGAAUAGCCCGAGGGAACUCGGAUUAAUACCGCAUGCGAUCCUAAGAUUAAAGGCGGCGCAAGCUGCCGCUUCUGGAUGGGCUCGCGGCCUAUCAGCUUGUUGGUGAGGUAACGGCUCACCAAGGCGACGACGGGUAGCUGGUCUGAGAGGAUGAUCAGUCACACUGGAACUGAGACACGGUCCAGACACCUACGGGUGGCAGCAGUCGAGAAUCAUUCGCAAUGGGGGAAACCCUGACGGUGCGACGCCGCGUGGAGGAUGAAGGCCCUAGGGUUGUAAACUCCUGUCAUCGGGGAGUAAGGUCUGCAGUUUAAUAGAUUGCAGGAUUGAUAGUACCCGAAGAGGAAGAGACGGCUAACUCUGUGCCAGCAGCCGCGGUAAUACAGAGGUCUCAAGCGUUGUUCGGAAUCACUGGGCGUAAAGCGUAUGUAGGCUGUACGGUAAGUCAGAUGUGAAAGCCCAGGGCUCAACCCUGGAACUGCAUCCGAUACUGCCAUACUAGAGUAGUAGAGGGGUAUAUGGAAUUCACGGUGUAGCAGUGAAAUGCGUAGAUAUCGUGAGGAACACUGGCGGCGAAGGCGAUAUACUGGAUACUUACUGACGCUGAGAUACGAAGGCUAGGGUAGCGAAAGGGAUUAGAUACCCCUGUAGUCCUAGCAGUAAACGGUGCGCGCUUGGUGUAGGAGGACUCGACCCCUUCUGUGCCGGAGCUAACGCGUUAAGCGCGCCGCCUGGGGAGUACGGUCGCAAGACUAAAACUCAAAGAAAUUGACGGGGACCCGCACAAGCGGUGGAGUAUGUGGCUUAAUUCGAUGCAACGCGAAGAACCUUACCCAGACUUGACAUGUAUUGCUAAGCACGUGAAAGCGUGUGACCCUUCGGGGACCUUACACAGGUGCUGCAUGGCCGUCGUCAGCUCGUGUCGUGAGAUGUUUGGUUAAGUCCAGCAACGAGCGCAACCCCUGUGAAUAGUUGCCAGCACGUAAUGGUGGGGACUCUAUUCAGACCGCCCGGGUCAACCGGGAGGAAGGUGGGGAUGACGUCAGGUCAGUAUGGCCCUUACGUCUGGGGCUGCACACGUACUACAAUGCUCAGUACAAUGAGAACCGAGACCGCGAGGUGGAGGAAAUCUAUAAAACUGGGCCCAGUUCGGAUUGGAGGCUGCAACUCGCCUCCAUGAAGUUGGAAUCGCUAGUAAUGGCACAUCAGCUACGGUGCCGUGAAUACGUUCCCGGGUCU